Molecule: transfer RNA, 73 nt
Filed under: Felis catus (domestic cat)
Lineage: Eukaryota; Metazoa; Chordata; Mammalia; Carnivora; Felidae
Also listed under: 4 other names
Rfam family: tRNA
About the family: Transfer RNA (tRNA) molecules are approximately 80 nucleotides in length.
Source: Rfam by way of RNAcentral
GCCUGGCUGGCUCAGUCAGAAGAGCAUGAGACUCUUGACCUCGGGGUCGUGAGUUCAAGCCCCACGUCGGGUA